Molecule: non-coding RNA, 241 nt
Filed under: Komagataeibacter medellinensis
Lineage: Bacteria; Pseudomonadati; Pseudomonadota; Alphaproteobacteria; Acetobacterales; Acetobacteraceae
Source: RNAcentral
ACUACCUUUACAUCACAAGGCCCCGUGCGAACGGGUUAAUAGGGAACGCCGUGCGUUCUGGCAGGGCUUAUCAGGGUCCGGGAACAAGUCGGUGGCUGCCCCCGCAACUGUAGGCGGAGAGAUUCCGGAUCGUAUGUCCUUAUGACAGGACCCGUCACUGGCUAUGACGAACAGGCUGGGAAGACUGAACCGGUAUUGACGACCCGUAAGCCAGGAGACCUGCCUUUGUGACGUAACCAGU